This 90-nucleotide microRNA precursor is filed under the name Chinchilla lanigera (long-tailed chinchilla). Its description in RNAcentral is "microRNA 505 (ENSCLAG00000020998.1)". It matches the Rfam family "mir-505 microRNA precursor family". The record is from RNAcentral. Lineage: Eukaryota; Metazoa; Chordata; Mammalia; Rodentia; Chinchillidae.
AAAUGGAUGCACCCAGUGGGGGAGCCAGGAAGUAUUGAUGUUUCUGCCAGUUUAGCGUCAACACUUGCUGGUUUCCUCUCUGGAGCAUCA